GUGCUCGCUUUGGCAGCACAUAUAAGUGGACAGACACGGGGAAGAUCAGCAUGGUCCCUGCACAAGGACGACAUGCAAAUUCAUGAAGCGUUCUUUAUUUUU
This is a small nuclear RNA of Apodemus sylvaticus (European woodmouse), 102 nucleotides long. The record is from RefSeq and is a predicted model, not a curated record. Lineage: Eukaryota; Metazoa; Chordata; Mammalia; Rodentia; Muridae.